Long non-coding RNA from Toxotes jaculatrix (banded archerfish), 373 nucleotides. RefSeq lists it as uncharacterized. Lineage: Eukaryota; Metazoa; Chordata; Actinopteri; Toxotidae. The record is from RefSeq and is a predicted model, not a curated record. The transcript has 3 exons.
UUACUUUACUCAGUCGUAAAGUCUUGUGCUUUGAGUAAACAGUCUGUCAACUACUCAAGUGAAAAAAGGACGAGGACUCAAUCCAAAGGCAAUGCUGCUUGAUUAGAGCGAUACUGGUUCAGCAUCAAUGUACAGUUACAGAGAGGAGAGGCCCGUGUGCCACGAUGAUCUACAAGCAAACAAUAUGUUGGGAUUCAAGAGAGAGGAGCAGCCUUGGCUUGGUGAAGAGUUUUCGGAGGCCUUCAGAGAACCAGCCAAUAGAAAUACAGUAAAAGGGACCAGACUGGCCUUCCUGGAUCAGGGCCCAAAGCCAUGUGAAACUCUACCCUGGAUUAUCUGUGGGGUAACAAAUCACUUCAGAGCUCAAUAUAGA